GACCGCGUAGCUCAGUUGGCAGAGCAUUGGGCUGUUAUCCAAAGGUCGUAGGAUCGAAUCCCACCGUGGCCA
RNAcentral lists this transfer RNA (72 nucleotides) under Paramuricea clavata. It matches the Rfam family "tRNA". From Rfam's summary of the family: Transfer RNA (tRNA) molecules are approximately 80 nucleotides in length. Their secondary structure includes four short double-helical elements and three loops (D, anti-codon, and T loops). Lineage: Eukaryota; Metazoa; Cnidaria; Anthozoa; Malacalcyonacea; Plexauridae. The record is from Rfam by way of RNAcentral.